This is a small nuclear RNA of Mus spicilegus (steppe mouse), 58 nucleotides long. Its record names the gene U7. It matches the Rfam family "U7 small nuclear RNA". Rfam says of the family: Animal histone pre-mRNAs are spliced by a different mechanism than nuclear pre-mRNAs and self-splicing introns. This processing involves the U7 snRNP, which contains only one RNA species: U7. NCBI's taxonomy places the organism in Eukaryota, Metazoa, Chordata, Mammalia, Rodentia, Muridae. The record is from Ensembl.
AAGAAUUACUUUUGGAAUUUUUCUAACAGGAUUUCUGACUUGGGUCAAGAAAACCCAU